This 41894-nucleotide long non-coding RNA is filed under the name Linum usitatissimum (flax). RNAcentral describes it as "long non-coding RNA (LUSI_LNC003366)". The record is from RNAcentral. Lineage: Eukaryota; Viridiplantae; Streptophyta; Magnoliopsida; Malpighiales; Linaceae.
UUUUUUUAUCUCCCAAACUCCACAAAGGUCCCUGUCAGUCAUAUUGGAGUUGUUCGUCUCCCAAAUGUUCUCUAUGUUCCUAGUUUUGCAUUUAACCUUAUCUUUGUUAGUAAGUUGACCAGUGGCCACAAUAUUUCUUUGAUGUUUAGUUCUGAAUCUUGUUCCAUUCAGGACCAUUCUUCCAUGACAACUCUUGGUUUGGCUAACCAGAUUUGAGGCCUUUACCAGCUCCUUCCUUCUCACAUACCUUCACAUAAUUCUAUCGUGGCUACCACUUACAAUUUCCAGCCACAACCUAUCCAUUUAUGGCAUUGGCGCCUUGGACAUCCCAAAAAUUCUCGUAUCAAAUCCUAUCAUCCUUGUAAUAAUGAGUACCUUAGAGAGAAAGGACAACAUUGUGAAAUUCGCCAUUUUGCUAAGCAUUAGAGACUUCCGUUCUUUCCUAGUGAGAAACGUGCUAGUAAAGCUUUUGAAUUGGUUCAUGUUCACAUUUGGGGUCCAUUGUCUAUUAAAUCUCAUGAUGGUUUUGCUUACUUUCUUACUGUGGUGGAUGACUAUUCUCGUUGGGUUUGGUUAUAUUUGUUAAAACACAAAUCUGAGGCUAGGGGUCGGUUGGAGGAUUUUUGCCAGUUUGUGCAUACCUAGUUUGACUGUUCAGUCCGCAUCAUCCAUAGUGAUCAAGGUGCAGAAUUCCAUAUGGUUGAUUAUUAUGCUCAACAUUGUAAACUGCAUGAGAUGAGAUGUGUUGCUACGCUUGAACAGAAUGCCCGUGUUGAAAGGAAACAUCGGGAUAUUUUAAAUGUUGCAAGAGCGCUUAGAUUUCACUCUGGCCUUUCUCUAUUUUUUUGGAGUGAUUUCGUGGUUCAUGCUGUUCAUCUUCUGAAUAGGUUUCCUAGUGCAGCUAUUGAGAAUAAGACUCCUUAUGAGCUUCUCUAUGGUUCUGCUCCCGGUCUUGAUCAUCUACGAGUGUUUGGCAGUCUUACUUACGCAGCUACACUAUCACAUCACAUAACUAAGUUUCAAUCUCGAGCAAGGCAGUGUGUUUUCAUCGGCUAUCCCAUUGGCAUUAAAGGUUACAAGCUUUAUGAUAUUCAGUCUCAUAAAUUCUUUGUUUCUAGUGAUGUCAGGUUUCAUGAAACCAUUUUACCUUUUCAUACUUCUUCUUCUAAUUUUCAAGUCUCUGCAUACAAUCUCUCGGUAGAGUCUGAGGGGGGCCAAACAUCAUCAUCUUCUAUUCCCCUUCCCCCCUUUCUCUCACCAACACAUACACCAACCCUGAAUCCAAUACCAAACUCAUACCUGAUUCCCAUACCAUCAUCAUCUCCUGAUAAACUACCAUCUCCAAAUCAACCAUUUUCUAUUGCUGACACUUCUCCUCUUUCUUUAGAAACUGAUUCUGAUUCUGAACUACCUCAUAACCUGCCUCCUGAAUCAGAACUAGAAUCAGAAGUACCAAGACUAUCUAAUCGAAUUAAAUCCUUACCCACUUAUCUUCAAGACUUUCAUCUAAAUGCUGCUUCCGUAUCUCACUAUUCCAAACAUCCCAUUUGGAAACAUAUCACUUAUGAUAACCUUUUCCCAGUUUAUAGAAGCCAUUAAGGAACCUAACACAUAUCAUGAAGCCAUUAAGGAACCAUGUUGGGAUCUUACCAAAAAGAAAGAAUUGGAAGCUCUGCAGGACAAUCAUACUUGAGACAUUGUACCUAAGCCCUUUGGUCAAAAGAUUGUUGGUAAUAAAUGGGUAUUUAAGAUAAAGUAUAAGCCAGAUGGAGUAGUGGAACGAUACAAAGCAAGACUUGUAGUGAAAGGCUACACUCAAACUUAUGGAAUUGAUUUUUCUGGACACAUUUUCUCCCGUUGCAAAGAUCAAUACUGUGAAGACUUUACUUGCAGUUACAGCUGUGAAGAAUUGGGAGUUACAUCAGAUGGAUGUGUAAAAUGCCUUUUUGAAUGGAGACUUAGAGGAGGAUGUUUAUAUGGAAGUUCCUUUAGGUUUGAAUGCACCACCUGGAUCCGUUUGCAAGCUUAGAAAGUCAUUAUAUGGGCUUAAACAAGCAAGUAGACAGUGGUUUGCAAAACUAACAAGUGCUCUCCUGCAAAAUGGAUUCACUCAGUCUGCUUCAGAUCAUUCCCUUUUUCUUAAGCAUUCUGAGAAGAGUACCACCUCUCUUUUGGUUUACGUUGAUGAUAUUAUUCUUGCAAGAGAUAAUGUGGAGGAAUUGGAAAGUGAUAAGUCGUUUCUUAAGAAUUAGUUCAAGAUUAAAGACUUGGGAGAUUUGAAAUAUUUCCUUGGUCUAGAAUUUGCUCGCUCUUACAAAGGGAUUACAGUUUCACAGAGAAAGUAUUGCUUUGAGCUAUUGAAAGAUACAUGCUAUCUUGAUACUAAGCCAUCGCACACUCCUAUGGAAUUUAGGUCAAAACUCUCAGCAGGUCAAAGAGUUCGAUUGACAGAGCUAGAGGUUUACAGAAGGUUGGUAGGAAGGUUGCAUUAUUUAACCAUCACGCGACCAGAUAUAGCCUUUCCAGUCCAACAGCUCAGUCAAUAUCAGGCACAACCCACUGAUGUGCAUCUGCAGGCAGCCUAUAGGGUGUUGCGAUACCUUAAAUCAGCACUAGCACAAGGUCUGUUAUAUUCAGCACAUAAUGAACUUGUGAUGUCUGGUUACAGUGAUUCAGAUUGGGCAUCCUGCCUAGAUACUCAACGCUCUAUUACAGGGUAUUGCACAUUUAUGGGGAAUGUAAUUCUCACAUGGAAAUCAAAGAAACAGAGUAUUGUCCAGGUCUUCUUCAGAAGCUGAAUGCAGGGCCCUUGCACACCUAUCCUGUGAGAUCGAUUGGUUGAAACUGCUUCUUGCAGAGUUGAGGGUGUUCAUCCCCACCACAGUAUCAAUCUAUUGUGACAAUCGAUCAGCCAUAUACAUAGUUGAAAAUCAUGUUUUCCAUGAAAGAACGAAACAUAUAGAUAUUGAUUGCCAUGUGGUCAGAUAUCGUGUGAAGUGUGGAUUAUUGAAGCUAUUUCAUGUUGGAACUGAAUUUCAACAAGAAAAUUUAUUCACAAAAGGGAUGCAUCGGGUUCGAUUGCGAUUUCUGAUUGCCAAGUUAGGAGUUAUUUACAUAUACUCCUCAACUUGUAGGGGCAUAUUAAGAAUGAAGAAGGAUCUGCAUACUGCAACUGCUGCUCCUGGAGAUGAUGACUCUAACGGAAUAAGAAGGAAUGAUUUUUGUGAUGAAGUUGUGGAGAUUAUGUUGACAUGAAUCAAGCCUAACUGAUAGGCUCUGUUUGUUAGAUGUUUCACAGGCUUCUCGGCCCACACACGGCCCACACAGAAUUGGAUAGAGCCCAACUCAAGUCGGUGCUCAGGAGAAGAAGCGGGUAUCGCCUUCAUGAACCAGAAUUACUCUAACCCUAGUUGCCAUUUCUAACUCGCAGAAUUAGAGAAGGUGCCUGCUUUGAUACGAAGAAACAGGUGUCAAGCAUGGAAAGAAGGAAGUUUCGAUACUUGCCUUCUUCAUCAACAAGAGCAAGCUCUGGCAACAAUAAAUACUAGUCGCUGCAAUUUCUCAAGGUGCGCUUCUGAACCGGAGAAAAACACAACAAAGUUGGGUGUGCUGUCUGAAGGGCAAUCGCACGACUAGAGCUGGAGCAUCAACGAUCGCUGUCUCGAUUGAGUUACGCUGGACGCUGAGUGUGUAGCUGGAGCUUAACAAAGUCGAUCGAGAGCCACGAAUCGAAGUUUAAGCCUCAAAGUGUUUAAGGUUGCAGAGUCGUAAAUUUUACGUCACUUGCUGUAGACUCUUGCUACUAAGUGUAUUGACUGCUUAUUGUGCUAACUCAAUAAGCUACGCCUGCAUGCUUUAGUUUAAACUUAUUUUCUGAAAGUAUCAUUUCGUCUUGCAUGCUUAGAACUAGUAAGGUUUAGCCACAUGCACCUGCUGCUUAAUUAAUUUUAAUGGUGAGAUUUCUCUCUUGUUGCAUCAAGAGGUUAAUAUUUAGUUUCUGCUGAAACAAAAUUCAUUACUCGUUGAAAGUAAGAGGGAUCAGACUCCAACAGAUUAGACCGUUAGUCCGUUAGUCAAUACGCUGCGUUUACGCUUAUCUUCUGUUUUCACUGUUUCACUUUUAUUACCAUUGGAUAAACAGUGUAUUUGGAUUUUACCGUUACUAUUAAAUAAACGGCCACAGCCAUGGCUGCUGCUGCAAACUUGCGCGCACCAUUUUCCAGCUUCUCUCUCUCUGUUUUGAUAUCUUCUCCUCUUGUCGGAUUUUUUUUUGUUCUGCAUGCUUGAUCUAAUUUUUCAAAGACGUUGAUGCAAAUUGUGUUCCCUCUAUCAGAUUAUUAAGUUGCUAUUCCCAACUGAAGCUUCUUUGUUAUACCCUGGUAUGAUAUCAGUUCUAGAAUCUGUUAUGGUGGUCAGUCUAUUUUCCCAGUUGGAUGUCCAUCAACGAACCUAGCUUCAUAUAUAGUGCUGUUAUUGGUCUUUGUGGAUCGGGGUCUCAAGGUCUUAUCACCCUUCAAUAUAAAUGCCCUUCUUGUAUCUCCAAUAUGUUAAAAACUGGGUUUCUUGCGGAUUGUGGGUGUAUAACAAGAGGAUUGCAUUGUGGUUGUGGUGGAGGGCCUUAGAGGAUUCAUCCCCUUUUGCUUUUGGAUUUCUGAUUAGCCAAAACUGUUUUACAUUUGGUCUUGAGGUGGUUGCUACUUGUGUGCUAUCAUCUGUUCAAUUCCUUGUAACAUUUGGUCUUGCAUUUCUAAGUGCUUAAUAAACUCUGUAGUUGGUACAUUUUGUUGAAAGUGAUGCUAGUGUGUAUGCCAACUGGUUAUUGUCUUGUCAUUGAUUUGAGAAUAAGUUGAAACUGAAGGAAUUGGUAUAACAGAAACUGAAAUGGAUUCUCUGGAGCUUUUUGGAGAAUGCAGUAGUGAUUCACAAACUAGUGCGACAACUGUGUUAGAUAUUGUUAAAUUAUAGUUCAGUAGCUGAGUGUAGUAAGUGAUAGUUGUAGUGAUAUAAAUAGAACUUUCCCCUUUCUCUUGUAAUUCAAUUUCAGUUACACAGUAAUAACAGAAAACAGAUUCAUUACAUUCAUUCCAUUUCUUCAAUCUUCACAUGGUAUCAGAGCUCCAUUGCUGAGCUGAUUUCACCAUGACUGAAUCAUCUCAAUCAUCAUCCAUUCUAUCCACACUCAACUCUAAUCCUCAUCCUUCAAACUUUACCGAUCAUUUCGCCAAUCCGCUGUACUUAUCUCCCGACGACAGCCUAUCAACUCCGAUCGUCGGAGUGAAGUUGACGAACGAAAACUUCCAUGUCUGGAGUAGGUCUAUGAGCGUAGCCCUGAGCAUCAAGAACAAGCUGAGCUUCAUUGAUGGCUCUUAUCCAGCUCCAGACUCUUAAGAUGUCUCGCAUCAGGCGUGGAUUUGAUGCAACUUCACUGUCCUCAACUGGAUUCUGAAUUCAGUAUCGGAAGACAUCGCGCAGAGUCUCAUCUCCUAUGACAACGCACCUGCUGCUUGGAAUUAUCUCAAGCAACGCUUCCGCCAAUGCGACGCGAUUCGAAUCGCAGAUCUCCAAUCGCGAAUUGCUUCCUGCGAUCAAGGUCAGGCUACUGUCACUCAAUACUUUACUAAUCUGAAGGUUCUUUGGGAAGAAUCCAUCCAGUAUCGUCCAAUCCUCUUAUGUGAGUGUAAUCCUGGUCACGUUCUAAGUGCUUAAUAAACUCUGUAGUUGGUACAUUUUGUUGAAAGUGAUGCUAGUGUGUAUGCCAACUGGUUAUUGUCUUGUCAUUGAUUUGAGAAUAAGUUGAAACUGAAGGAAUUGGUAUAACAGAAACUGAAAUGGAUUCUCUGGAGCUUUUUGGAGAAUGCAGUAGUGAUUCACAAACUAGUGCGACAACUGUGUUAGAUAUUGUUAAAUUAUAGUUCAGUAGCUGAGUGUAGUAAGUGAUAGUUGUAGUGAUAUAAAUAGAACUUUCCCCUUUCUCUUGUAAUUCAAUUUCAGUUACACAGUAAUAACAGAAAACAGAUUCAUUACAUUCAUUCCAUUUCUUCAAUCUUCACAUGGUAUCAGAGCUCCAUUGCUGAGCUGAUUUCACCAUGACUGAAUCAUCUCAAUCAUCAUCCAUUCUAUCCACACUCAACUCUAAUCCUCAUCCUUCAAACUUUACCGAUCAUUUCGCCAAUCCGCUGUACUUAUCUCCCGACGACAGCCUAUCAACUCCGAUCGUCGGAGUGAAGUUGACGAACGAAAACUUCCAUGUCUGGAGUAGGUCUAUGAGCGUAGCCCUGAGCAUCAAGAACAAGCUGAGCUUCAUUGAUGGCUCUUAUCCAGCUCCAGACUCUUAAGAUGUCUCGCAUCAGGCGUGGAUUUGAUGCAACUUCACUGUCCUCAACUGGAUUCUGAAUUCAGUAUCGGAAGACAUCGCGCAGAGUCUCAUCUCCUAUGACAACGCACCUGCUGCUUGGAAUUAUCUCAAGCAACGCUUCCGCCAAUGCGACGCGAUUCGAAUCGCAGAUCUCCAAUCGCGAAUUGCUUCCUGCGAUCAAGGUCAGGCUACUGUCACUCAAUACUUUACUAAUCUGAAGGUUCUUUGGGAAGAAUACAUCCAGUAUCGUCCAAUCCUCUUAUGUGAGUGUAAUCCUGGUCACGUCUCGACUUGCAAAGUCAUUUCUAGAAUGUUGCUAUAUCAAGAGCAGGAUUAUGUCAUUCGCUUCAUUCGAGGAUUGAAUGAUAGUUAUGACGUAGUGCGAUCCCAGUUAUUUUUGAUGGAUCCAUUACUUGAUGUUCACACUGCUUUUAAGUUUGCUGUUCAAAUGGAACGGCAAAUGAAAGGAAAUGCAAUUAGAUCUAUGGACUCCAUUGCUCUUGCUGCACCUAAUUACUCUGGAAAUGGAAGAGGAAGAGAUUCAGGUGAUAAACAGCCUUUGUUCUGUCGAUAUUGUAAAAAGGACAAUCAUAACAUCGAGACAUGCAUGAGGUUAAAGAAUAAAAAGGCCCGUGAGGCAAGCAAUGGUGGAGGAACUGGUUUUAAUCGUUUUGCUGGUGCAGCUUCUGGUGAUAUGCACAAUAAUCUUGAUAAUGAUUAUCAGUCUUCUCAUGGUUAUCCAACUCCAGACUAUCGUUUUGCUUCUGAAGGUUCAUCAGAUACUGUCAACAUGUCCCUGUCCUCCUCAGAGCUUGCACGACUUCGACUACUCCUCCAGCAACCAAUUCCAACACAGUCCCAUUCACAAGCCACCUACGCCAACCUAAUUACCACUACCCUGCCCGUGUCAUCCACUUCAUCAGGUACUUACAUUCUUUCCACUCUCACAUCUCAACCUCUUUCCAAUUACUGGAUUGUUGACACAGGUGCAAGUAGCCAUAUUGCUUGCUCAUCUCAUUUGUUUUCUCAUCUUAACACUAUUUCUCCCAUUCCUGUCACUUUACCUACUGGUGCCAAUCUUCUUGCUACUCAUGUUGGGGUAGUCGUCUUGCCUUGUGGUCUGUCUCUCCAAAAUGUGUUGUAUAUCCCUUGUUUCUCCUUCAACUUGCUGUCUGUGAGCUGUCUCACUCAACAAUCCUCCAUUUCUGUUGUUUUUUCGUCUCAACAGUGUCAUAUUCAGGCCCUUCCUUCACAGAAGACGAUUGGUUUAGCCCAAGAAAGUAGAGGUCUAUACCUUCUUCCUGCCACCCACACUACAGCCUUCACUUCUCUUCUCUCAUCUGAUGUUAUUGUUGCAGCAUCUCUUAACCUUCAUCCGCAUUUUUUGGAUAUUUGGCAUUGCAGACUAGGUCAUCCAUCCCUAGGCAGACUGCAACUCAUUCACCAAGCUCAACCAUCCAUCACUCUUCCUUCAUCUCCCCAUUGCAUCACUUGUCACCUUGCUAAGCAGAAAACUCUUCCUUUCAAUAAAAGUACAUCCAGAGCUAGUUCCCCUUUCGCUCUUGUUCAUAUGGACAUUUGGGGACCAUUACACACUCCCACUCACGAUGGUCAUAGCUACUUUCUCACUGUUCUUGAUGAUUUUAGUCGAUGUGUUUGGAUCUUUCUCAUGAAACAUAAGGGCGAGACCCGUGAACUUGUUAAUUCUUUCUGUUCCAUGGUUUCUACACGAUUUUUAGUUUCUGUUAAGACCAUUCGUUCUGACCAGGGAGCAGAAUUUCGAAUGGAUUCUUUCUUUGCUAUGCAUGGUAUUGUUCAUCAGCAAAGUUGUGUCUCUGUUGCUCCUCAGAAUGGACGAGUCGAAUGAAAACACCAACAUCUCUUAGCCGUAGCCCGUUCCCUAAGAUUCCAAAGCGGUUUGUCUCUCAGAUUCUGGGGGGAUUGUGUCUUACAUGCUUGCUACUUAAUCAAUAGACUUCCAACUCCUGUUCUUAACAACCUUUCCCCUUCCGAGACCCUUUAUAACGUCAAGCCUUCAUAUGAUCAUUUGCGUGUUUUCGGAUGUUUAUCCUAUGCCAGCACCCUAUCUCAUAAUCGUACCAAAUUUGCUCCCAUAUCAACCCCUUGUGUGUUUAUAGGAUUCCAGAAUGGCAUCAAAGGAUACAAAUUAUUGGAGAUAGCUACCCAGAAAAUCAUUGUGUCCAGGAAUGUUGUGUUUCAUGAAUCAAUUCUUCCUUACAGAGAACCUCAACUUUCUCCAACGUUCACUACCACCCCAAACCAAUCCAUGAUUCCUAUCACUCUUGAUUCCCUUUCUCCUCCCACUGAUGACUUGGAAGAAAACAUUUCUCCUGCAGACAUGAAUCAUCACCUUCAAGCAGAAAAUAUCACCAACACAAAUUCCAGCUCAUCCUCAAACACAAAUCAAACCCCUCAGACAGAAAUCAUCAACACAGACCUCACAUCUUUAUCUCAACCCACAAGCCAUACUCAAUCUCACACUUACAUUAAUCCUCCUAUGCCAUGUAAAUGAUCCACACGAAUCACUAGACCUCCCAGAUAUCUGCAGGAUUAUCAUUGUUCCCUUCUUAGCUCGACUCAAGCUGUAGUGGAGGAUCACUCAUCUCUCCCUAUGCAUAAAUACCUAUGUUAUGAUUUUCUUUCACCAUCUCACAGAGUUUUUUCUUUGUCUAAGCCACAAACCUUUGAGGAAGCCGUGAAAUCACCUCACUGGAGGAGGACCAUGAUGGAAGAAAUGCAGGCUCUCGAGGCAAACGGGACAUGGACAGUUACUGAUAAACCAUCAGGGGUAGGGCCCGUGGGAUGCAAGUGGGUAUACCGGAUUAAGUACAAACCAGAUGGAAGCAUAGACAAGUAUAAGGCACGUUUGGUUGCCAAGGGAUACACACAAGUGUAUGGAGUGGAUUUUACAGAUACUUUCUCACCAGUAGAAAAAAUUACUUCGGUAAAAACACUGCUGGCAGUAGCAGCAGUUAAGAAUUGGCACUUACAUCACAUGGAUGUAAGCAAUGCCUUUCUUCAUGGAGACUUGGAUGAGGAAGUUUAUAUGGACAUACCAAAGGGAUAUGAGACUAAAGGAGAAGGAAAACAAGUCUGCAAACUACAGAAAUCAUUGUAUGGUUUGAAGCAGGCAAGUCGGAUGUGGUUCAUCAAGUUCACCAAGGCACUGAAGUUGGAGGGAUUCAAGCAAUCUGAUUCUGAUCAUUCUCUAUUCACAUACUGCUCAGGAACGUCCACGCUAGUAUUGCUGGUCUACGUGGACGACAUCAUACUGGCUGGGAAUGAUCUCGUGUUGAUGGAAGAGAUUAAAAGGAAGUUGCAAGGACAUUUCAAAGUAAAAGAUAUGGGGUCCCUGAAAUAUUUCUUUGGACUGGAAAUUGCCAGAACAAAGGAUGGAAUUUCUAUGUGUCAACGAAAAUAUUGCCUGGAAAUGAUUUCAGAUGCUGGGUUGUUGGAUGGGAAACCCACAAAGACUCCACUUGAUUAUAAGGAGAAAUUAAGAGCAGAUGAAGGAAAUCCCCUGGAGGACAUUACUGUAUUCAGACAAAUAGUUGGGAGGCUGCAUUACAUCACCAUAACACAACCUGACAUUUGCUAUGCAGUACAACAACUGGCACAGUUUCAAGCCAAGCCUACGGAUAUACAUCUCAAAGCUGCAUACAAAGUUAUCAGGUAUCUAAAAGGGUCCCCAGGUCAAGGUCUAUAUUUUAGAAGGGACAGCAGCCUGGAGGUUAGUGGAUACUGUGAUUCAGAUUGGGCAAGUUGCCCAGACACGAGAAGGUCUACCACUGGAUAUUGCUUGUUUCUGGGCAGUUCCUUAGUGUCUUGGAAGACUAAGAAACAAAGCACAGUGUCCAGAUCUUCAUCGGAGGCUGAGUACAGAGCACUCGCCUCGUUGUGCUGUGAAGUUCAAUGGAUGAAGGUCUUACUGGCGGAUUUGGGAGUCCCUCACAGCACUCCAAUGCAACUUUACUGUAAUAAUCAGUCAGCGAUCCACAUUGCUUACAAUCCCGUUUUUCAUGAACGCACUAAGCACAUAGAGAUUGAUUGUCAUGUGAUUCGUGAGCGGAUUGAGUCAGGAUUGGUGCAGCUUAGACACGUCUCAACGGAAACUCAGUUGGCUGACAUCUUUACUAAGGGACUGGCUGCUCCUCGGAUGCAAUUCUUGCUGUCCAAACAGGGUGUUCUGAACAUCUAUUCCCCAGUUUGUGGGGGGGGGGGGGGGGGGUUGGACAGGGUCAGUUAUGGUGAGAAUAGCGGAGUAGCUGAGUGUAGUAAGUGAUAGUUGUAGUGAUAUAAAUAGAACUUUCCCCUUUCUCUUGUAAUUCAAUUUCAGUUACACAGUAAUAACAGAAAACAGAUUCAUUACAUUCAUUUUCAUUUCUUCAAUCUUCACAAACUGUAGUACUUUUGGAUUUAUUUUGGUCUGGACUUCUGAAUCUUGUCAUCUGCAGUGUUUCUUGAAUGGAUGUAGGCAGCCCGGGCCUUUUUCCAUUUCUAACGUUAUUCCAACAACUGUAACUCUGCAAGAAUCUGCUGUGAAUGUGAAUGAAACAGUGGUAUUAUUGAUUCCCCAUACUCAAAUUCCCGUUCCUGAAGAAAUAUCCCGAAUUGUAUUCAGGUUCGGGAACAGGACUUCGAGUAUGUAAAUCGGGAAUUUGGAAAUUCGGGAACAGUGUCCCGAUUUCCACUCCUAUCCUUCUCUGAUUUAUUUCUAGUUUUCUUGAGUCUUGAAUCUGAGUUCAGCAUAAGCUGUAGAAUCAGGUGCUUCAAUUGAGAGUGAGGUAGAUUGCUUCAUUAAGUUCUCAGUUUGAUCAUGUCAAAAUAAGAUGAACAUUUCAUAGUUAGAUUGCAUUUGAUUUCCUAUAUUAUUUGUUGUAAUAAUGGUUAUUGCAUGGUUUGAAAAAUCAUCCUUGCUCUUGUAAAGGUUCUUGCUAUACAACAUGCAUAGUAACGAUCCAUGUGACUUCAGUUGCCUUUGUUUCAUUAAGUUCUCAGUUUCCACAUUUAUUGUCCAGCUUUCUGUUUAAUCUGUUGACUUAUUAGAUAUUUUACUAUUUUAGACGGUAGUUCAUAGAAUCUUAUGAACCAAUUCUACGAUUUUACUACCCGAUUCUAUGUUUACGACUGUACCUCACUUCUCAUUCCACGUGGAAUCCCGAUUUUGACUAGCACUUUGAGGCUUCCUCUCGAUUGCAGUCAUAUGUUGGUUUACUUCAAUCGAUGAUCUCCUGUACAGUGAUAUCAAUUUUCUGGUUACUGACAAAUCCAGAAAAGAGAAAGAGAAUCGGUUCAUUCAACCUCAGAGCCCAGAAAGCGGAGCAUUCUGCUUGCGGCUAGUGGGAGUGUGGCUGCCAUCAAGUUUGCAAACCUGUGCCACUGUUUCUCCGAUUGGGCUGAACUGAAAGCGGUUGCUACUAAAGCUUCUCUACAUUUCAUUGACAGAGCUGCACUUCCCAAGGAUGUGCUUCUUUACACAGACGAGGAUGAAUGGUAGACUUGGAGCAAGAUUGGGGAUAGUGUGUUGCACAUUGAACUCCGCAGAUGGGCAGACGUUAUGGUUAGUGCCCCACUAUCAGCCAAUACCCUUGGCAAAUAUCUUGUUUGGCUUUAACAUUUCCUCACCGUCAGCGAAGACUGGACUUGCAAGGUGUCUGAAUUUGCUGUCACUAUUUUAACCUAUAGAAGCAAUAUUCUCAGGUUUCGGCUGUAACAACAAUCAUUUCAAAUAUGCAAUUGUAGACGCACUAUUAGGGUUUAUAUUCAUGUUAAAGAAGGCUUUCUUUGCUAUUUGCAAUAAGUUAAGUGACUAGCAGAGAGUGAAAGCAUUUAUAUAUACGAUGGAUCAGUUUUGCAAAUCUAUUGCCCACAAGAACUAAGGGAAUUGCUUUCUUGGUGCAACUGUCAACCUAUGAUUGUUUUCUCAUGAAUUCAUUCAUUUGAAGAAAGUACUUCUAGCGUGGGAGGGUUCUCCGAUAUAAUUUAGGUACACAUUCCAUGGUUAUAUUGUUUUUGUGUCUUGGUUGCAUCAAAUUAGUUGCACUAGUAAUAUAGUUGCUUAUGCAAGCUAUCUUUAACAUUUCCCUCAAAUGCAGAUUGCUGGGGGAUUGUGUGAUAACCUGCUGACUUGUGUUGUGAGAGCGUGGGACUAUUAGGAGCCUCUGUUCAUAGCACCAGCUAUGAACACGUUCAUGUGGAGGAACCCAUUCACAGAAAGGCAUCUGAUAUCAGUAGAUGAAAUUGGGAUUACCAUGAUCUCACCUGUUUCAAAGAAGCUGGCUUGUGGAGAUUAUGGUACCGGUGCAAUGGCAGAACCGUCUGGGAUAAAUUCAACUGUAAGACUGUUCUUACAGUCGAGGAAUCAACAAGGUGAAGGGACAAACAGUUAACAAUAGUGGGAGAGAAUCCUCACACUCGCUUGUAACUCCCCAUCUGAUUGUUUACUGUAUUGUAGCUUGACUGAGAUAAAAGCAGCCUUGUGUGGAUUAUUGUCGGGUUGGAAUAGGUAAGCUUGUUAGUAGAAAUGUGUAGUAGGAAGACGGCCUUCUAGUUAUGAGAGGUGGAAAGGGUAACAGGAGCUUAGGAAAUAGGAACAGUCAGUCUCUCAGAGACCAGCAAAAUGAGGAUUCGUUAUGUUGUAGUGACGUACAAAAAUAGUAUGAAUGAGGUUUGUUGAAAUCGUAUCAAAAUCAACUAGCUUGAGUAGUUUGGUCCAACCUUCCACUUACUGCCUACCAACUGGUGGGACUAUGACUUGUUUGAUUUGCAAAAUCGUACCUUUUCUCUGUUGUGACACAGAAAUGAAUGACUAGCUAGGUUGAUUUUAGAUAAAUGAGAUCCAACAAACUUCCCUUUUUAAGGACAAACGUGGUGGUUUAUAGAGAUCAGAGAUGAACUAUGAUCUGUUAUUAUACUUGUGUUAGGGUUGGUGUGUAUACAAAACGGAAUCUAAACAGUAGUCCCAUCAGGCAGAUUAGACACUGAUCUAUCUGAAUUUUACCUUAACACUGUCGAAUUGGCCUAAAGGUGCUGGAAUUGCCAAGUCGAAUAAGAAUUGGUUCAUUACACGCAGAUAAAAUAAAAUAAAAAAAAGAAUAGUUUCUUGAACCAAAUACAAGUUCGAUUACAUUACUACCACAAAAACUGUGAUUGAGAAUCUUGUUUCUCCCGGGAACCGAGUUAGGGGUGCAAAAACAGCCAUGAAAUGCUGGUGAUGACAUGACAAUUCAAGGUGGUUUUUGCAUCAACUAAUAAAAAUUACAGAGUCCAACUCCACCCAGCCAACAUCAACAACUGACUGACUGACUAACUAACUAAGUAACUAACCCGUAAGUACUAAACACGAUUCGCUUCCCUAGGAGCAGCAGCAAUAGUAGCUGAUACCUGAUUAUGUUCAUCCGCCACUACUCUCCUCAUCUCAACAACCCACUUCACCAACUUCACUACAUACUCAUACAUAUUCAAAGCAAUGUACAUCCCUAUCCCACCAAUUAUCCCAUUCGAAAUCGAAUAAGUCAACGGCAUCAGCAGCAUUGUCAAAAACGCAGGCACACCUUCCUUCAAAUCACCCCAAUCAAUAUCCUUCACCACUUUCAUCAUCAUCACCCCAACCAUCACCAACGAAGGCCCAACUGCCCACGGCGGGAUGCUGCUCAACAACGGAGUGAAGAAUAUCGACAUCAGAAAAUAUAACCCAACAACCACCGCAGUCAACCCCGUCCUCCCACCUUCCCUCAUCCCAGCCGUUGACUCCACAAACGUCGCCACCGGUGAAACCCCCAGCGCAGACCCAACUACCGUUGAUCCUGCAUCAACCAUGAACGCCAUGUACUCGCCUUCGAAGCUCCCUCUCUCGUCCACAAGCUCCCCAACUUCAGCCAUGGUGUACAACGUCCCAGUUGUCGACACAACAUCCACGUAUAGCAAUGUCACUAGUGCAACCCAUACCUCACUCCUAUUGAAAUCUCUGAAACUUAUGGCUCCUGCCGUUGACUUAAUCUCGUGGAAGUCAACCACUUUCUUGAAGUAAUUGAAGUUUUUGUCACCAGUUGACGUGUGAGGGAAGUAUGUGACACUAGUGCCUCGAACCCAUGACACAACUGUCACAAACAUAAUCCCAUAUAUCAUACUACCCUUCACGUUCUUCAUCAGUCCGUAACAUGUUAUUAAAAACCCGACGCAUCCUAGCCAGAAAGUGGGGUUCGUCAUCUUCCCGUCGACACACUCUCCAGUGACCGGAUUUGUCCUCGAGCAGGCCGCAAGGGUCACCAGAGUGGAUGGAUCUGGCCCAACAAGGCCCAAACCUUGAUGGACCUGUAAGCCCACAAACGCAAUAAAAAGCCCAAUCCCCGCCGCGCAGCCUAGCCUCACCGGCCUCGGUAUUAGCCUGGCGAUCUUGGACCGAAGACCGAGAACGGCAAUUGCGAGAAACACACAUCCUUCCACCAAAACAACGGCCAUUGCGGUCCGGUAAGACAUGGAGCCGGACCCAUGGAAGCCCACCAAAUUGUAGGCCAAGUAAGCGUUUGGGCCCAUACCGGGAGCAAGUCCAAAAGGAAGAUUAGCUAAAACUCCCAUGGCAAAAGAAGCAAGCAUGGCUGUCAAGGCAGUGGCGACCACUAGAUCACUCUUGAUUGUGUCUAGGCAGCUCUGGUAGCCCUCGUCGGCGGGGGAGCAGGUGCCCCCGGAGUCGGCGAGGAUGGUGGCGUUGACAGAAAUGAUGUAAGCCAUUGUGAUGAACGUGGCGGUGGCAGCACGGAGCUCCUUGGUGAAGGUGGUCUUUCGGGGUUGGAGCUUGAAGAAUUUUCCGAACCGGCUGUUGGAUACGGCGUUGUUUAAGGAGGUCUCUACUUUGGUGAAGAAGGAAGGAGGGGAAGAAGAAGAAGAAGAAGGCAUAAUGGUAAUGGUAAUGGUGGGUUUGGGAGUGGUUAGGUGAUGGUGAGGGUUUUCCAUAAUAGAUGGAUGGAGUUUGAUUUUGUAAGGACAGAAUCUUUGGAGUGAUAUAUUUAUAAGGGGGAGGGAAAGUAGAAUGGUUUAUAAUUUUGGAUUUUCAAGGGAGGUAAUGAUUUGAGUUAAGGAUUGAGAUUUUUUUUUUGUAUUUUUAUUUUUAUAAAUAAGGGCAGAGAAUCUUUUGGGCAGGUUAAUUACUAAAUUCAAAUUCAUUUGUUUAUUUAUUAAUUUUCGUACUCCUGUUACAAUAAUUUAAAGUCAUAAGAAUGGUUUUUUGUUAGCCAAAUUAAAUAGAGUGAGUCGAGUUACGGGUUACAAGAUAUUGAGUUAUAAUACAGAUUUGUUGGGCUACAAAUUAAUUUGAUUAAUUGCUUUAAAAACAUUUGAGAUUAGCAGUUAUGAAUUGUUGGUCAUUAAUCAUCUUUACUGAGUGAGUGCUGCCUGAUUUUGUAAUCUAAUCCCACUUAUGUUAACGUUACAGUUAAAGCUCUUCAUCAUCAUCAUCAUCAUCAUCAUCAUCAAUCCAUCAUCUUCCAUUUUGUUUUGGUGCUAAUUAAGUUUUUUUCCUUUACUUUCCCUGUUACAUUAUUUUGUACUGUUAUGUAUGAAAAUAUAUGCCCCGCCCGACUCACCUCUUAAUUUGUGAAACCACAAAUCUUAACAUUCUCUAAACACUUGGCUAGCUAAUUAAUAAGCUAAAAUGUUGAUUCCUUUUGGUUGGAACGUAACACACAGCACAGGUCAUAAGUACAGGUACUUUAAUUAUAAGUAGUCCUCAAAGAAAACGUGAGGUGUAGAUAUGCUUAAUUACUUUAACGUUCCCAAACCAUCAUCACUACUAUAUAUAUGCCUUAAUUUCACGAGUCAUGACUAGCUAGGCAGCCAACGUAUAAAAGAUCAUGAGCGGCAUGCUUACUUUAACAUUUCCAUACUAUCAACUAACGCUAUACAUAUUUCACGUGAAAUACAAGGACGGAUUUAGGAUUGAAAUAUGUACUGAGUCAGAUUUUAAUAUUAACGUAUAUAUUGAGUAAUUAAUUUACGAAACGUAAUACUAAGUGAAAAAAUAUAUAUGUUGUGUUAUUUUUAGUUAAAGCAAGUUGUUCUUAAAUAUUGAAUGUAUCAUUAACGAUUUUUUUUCCUAAACAAGUAAGACCAUUCUCAUCACAAAAGGAAAUAAUUGAUAAACUUGCUUAUGUGGCCAUAAUGUUCAUAUUAUCAAUUUUUUUUUACAUCGAAAAGGUCUACUUAUAUCAUUGAAAUCUACUUCUGAAGGGGUGGCACAAAUUCCAUCCCCAAAGGGGCAUAAGCAUUCAACUCGGAGAUCCAAUGCUCAGGAAGAGAACCCCUAACUGCCCUUUUUGCAACCCCAUCUUUGCGCGAGUUUGAUAUUCACGGAGUGAAUAGAACUGCAAGAAGGGGGGAUUGACGCAGAACGGUCACCAUAGAGGCAAUGCUAGCCGCACAAUCCCAAGGACAAAUGACACGAGACCCGACCAUUGAGAAUAUUAACCAGAGUCUUGCAGUCGGAGAAGAUUCGACAUGGAGCAUCCAAAUGGUUACCAAUCUCAAUAGUAAUCAUAAGAGCCUCGGCUUCAGCCGCAAAACGGAGAGGACAUGACGAGCGGAUUUUACCCCGCUAAUCAAACACCCACUAGAUUGGUCUAAUGUAUUGUAUUUCCCUAGGGUCUUUCUAAUACUAUUACUCAAAUUGAUUAUGCUAACUAAACCAUGUAAUAGUGAAUGGUUGUUUGUAUGAUUGUUUCUAUAACCAAUUAUCAACUAGGUAUGCAAAUCAAAAGAAAGCAAAUGCAAGAGAUAGAGUUUGAAAUAUGGAAUGAAACAUGUUUGGAUUCGAAUCCACUAAGGCAAACAAUUCAUGGAUGAAUGAUAUGUUAUCUCAAUUAUUCAGGUUAUAACGGCUUGGCUAUUUCUUACGAUAGUCUUAGGUGAGACUCGCGCCUCUAAGGAUCUAUUUUGCUCGACCAUAGACUCCUUUCUGGAGCUAAUCUCUUUCUCGAGCUAAUCUACACCUAAGCAGAACAUAGUAAUGGUGUUCGAUGAAAUGACACAACGAUAAUGAUACAGAAUGCCUAAACGAUAUGUUCCUCUCUCGAGCUAACGAAUAACCUAGAGUUCUUCCUAAGCGUCCUAUCGAUCUAUGUUCCUCUUGGACCCACAAAUCAAUAACAGUGAUUCAAUUAAGGAGAUCAAACGAAAUUGAAUCAGAAAUUAGGUUUAGCAAGAACACAUCAUAAGUCUGAAUAACCUUGAUAACAAAUAAAAGGGUUAAAACCCCAUCAUCCAUACAAAAACCAAGCUAAAGCUUCAUCUAAUAAAAACAACACGAAAAGUUUAGCUACUCAUGGUUCGGGAAACAUGAAAGGUAGAAGAAAGGAAAAUAACCCGGGAAGAAAAUAUGUUUCGUCGAGAAAUCUCCGUCUUGUCGUCAAUCUCCAAUCUGUCUCCAAUCGUUGAUGUUCUCUCACUUCAAUCGAUCUAUGGAACUGUAUCUCUCUCCAAAAGAGCAGGUGGUUCGAAAUUGAGAUCCUAGCAUCCAAGACAUCCACAAAUAGAACGAGAACAACAAUCAUGCAUCCACUGUCAUCCAUAAAGUAAGCUUGAGAAGAAUUUUCGAAAAGCAAGAACAACAAUUAAGCACAAAUGAUCACAAGUUAAGUACCCAAAAUUUCAAAGCACCCUAAUCCCCCACUGUUUAACAGGACAUUAUCCUCAAUGGACCAAACAAUCAAGUGAGACAGAGCCAGAAAAUAUGGUACUAACUUAGAAAUCAUGAUAGUGAGCACAUGUAGAGCUUAGACGAGGACCAAGGCUCCAUUCGAAUAUUAAGUGAGAUCUAGACUUCCUCUUCAUAUGAAUGGAGUUUUAUGGCCAAAGAGAAACAAAAAAAAGCAAAGGAAGAAAGGCAAUUGCCAAUCAGUUACAUCAAUCCAUAACAAGCAAAAAUAAAAAAACAGACACAUAAGUUCAACCACGAGACACAUAAAAGAAAACUAAAACAUAACCACAAGUUCUAGAUGAAAAACUGAAGUUCGAAAGAUAGAAAGGUGACUACUACUCAUCCAUAUCACUACCACAACACCACUUCACAAUGCUCAACUAAAUCAAGGUAGAUCACCCCACACUUAAAUAGUUCGAAAUAGGGAAAUGAGGAACUGAAAACACCUAAGUACAUGGCAUGCUAGAUAAGCGUCCUCGUCAACAUUACAACAUCUUAAGAUUUCAUUCGGCAAAAAAUAUUCACCCUAGAAGAACUAAUUAAUCAAAAACCCCUAACAUGAGGGUAGGAGAUCACCAAAGAGAGUCAUUAAGCAUAAUGAACAUGGCAAACGGUAAGCAAUUAAGUUCAAAUUCGUUUCAAAACCCUAACAUAUCAUCAGUUUCGGCAAGGCGAGGCCAAUUGCACAAAAUCACACACUUCAAAAAAUUAGGGUUCAUGGGUGUGUAACACACCUCGUGUAUUAUCAAUACACGUCAUGGGUUACCAAUACACAGCGUGUAUUGUCAAUACAUGCCCGUGUGUUAGAAAGCAGCAAUCUCGGAUGAUACAAUACACGUCUGUGUAUUACUAAUACACGACGUGUGUUAUUUUUUUGUUUGCCGUUUCUUCAUCCUCCACACACUUAACAACACAAUGUCACCCCCGAACAUCCGAGAUACCAUUUUAUCAUCCACACUCAAUUGACUCAACAGUAGACACACCACAAGCCUCAAAAGUUGAAUUUUUUUUUAAAAAAAGACUCAAAACUCAGGUUCCCUCCCGAGAAGGGAUCUUUCUUUUACGUCUUUGAGCUAUAUGAUACCUGGAUUAGGCCGCCCAACUUAGAACCUCCUUGAAUUCCAUUAGUUUCUUCAAGGAUUGGAGUUGAAUCCCAUGUAACACCCUAAGAGAUGGAUGGAGAAGACGGUGAAGUGGUUGUGAGCUCCAAUUCAUGCCUAGAAGUGACAUUCUCUUCUUAACCGCUAAUGAUUAAAAAGGGAAGAGGUAGUAUGGUGUAUCGACACUUGUAUCCUCAAUUAUCCCUGAUCCAAUAGUGUAUCUUGAGAAUUCCUUUGGGGCAUACAAGUUUGGUACUGAGAUAGUGUCCUCUCUAAUCUUGUGUGUGAAGCACUCAUUAUCAGUAUCCUGAGAAUUUACUUUAUCGUACCUCAGACAGCCUAAUUGCUUCGUUACUCUGGGCUAUGAAUUCAUGAUUUUGGGCAAUAUAUUUGUCCAAAAGUUUAUUUGUAUAUGUAUUCUUAGCAGUCGGAGGUUGAUAUGAAUCAUUACUUAAAUAUUGAUUGUGAAAGGAGUGACAGUCUUCAUUGUAGCUUUGGUGGUUGUACGUUGUUGAUGAGUCUUGAAAACAAGAUGGUGUAGAUUGGUCCUGAUUCCUAUAUGAAUUUGAUUCUUGCCCAAAUUUGUUCCAUUGUUGAUGCUCUCCUUCAUGAUUAGGUUGGUAGUAGCUUGGUGAACCUUGGUACUCAUAAUAUUGGUUGGUGAAGAACCCCAACCUUCAUCGUAGUUACCUUCAGCACAGGAACCUUGCCACUAUCCAUUCGAACUGUAAUCUUGCAUAAUGGAACUCAAGAUAAAAAACCCCGAUAAACCAUGUGAGAGGAAAUAGAUAUGAUAGGAAAAGUACAGGGAUAGCUAACAAUCAAAAUCUUCCUACAAUUUAGAAAAGUCCCCGGCAACGAUGCCAAUUUGACGAGCGGAUUUUACCCCGCUAAUCAAAUACCCACUAGAAUGAACUAAUGGAAUCGUAUUUCCCUAGGGUCUUUCUAUUGCUAUUACUCAAAUUGAUUAUGAUAACUAAACUAAGUAACAGUGAACGAUUGUUUGUAUGAUUAUUUUUAUAAUCAAUUAUCAACGAAGUAUGCAAAUCAAAAGAAAGAAAAUGCAAGAGAUUGAGUUUCAAAUAUGGAAUGAAAAAAGUUCGGAUUUGAAUCCACUAAACCAAACAAUGCAUGGAUAAACGAUAUGCUAUUGUCAAUUAUUCAGGUUAUACCGGCUUGGCUAUUUCCUACGACAGUCUUAGAUCACUCUCGCGCCUCUAAGGAUCUAUUCUGCUCGACCAUAGACUCCUCUGUUGAGCUAAUCUACACCCAAACAGAACGCACUAAACGUGUUCGAUGAAAUUCCAUAACGAUAAUGAUGUAAAAAACCUAAACGAUAUGUUCCUCUAUCGAGCUAACGAAUAACCUAGAGUUCUUCCUAAGCGUCCUAUUGAUGUGCAUUUCUCUCGGACCCACACAUCAAUGACUAUCAUUAAAUUAAGGCGAUCAAACGAAAUUGAAUUAGAAAUUAGGUUUAGCAAGAACACAUCAUAAGUCUGAAUUACCUUAAUAACAUAUCAAAGGGUUAAUACCCCAUCAUCCAUACAAAAAUGAAGCUAAAGCUUCAUCUCAUCCAAACAACACGAAAGGUUUAGCUACUCAUGGUUCGGGAAACAAGAAAGGUAGAAGAAAGGAAAAUAUCCCGGAAGAAAACAUGAUUCGUCGAUAAACUUCUGCCUUAUCGCCCAUCUUUUUCUCUCGAUUGUCAACAUGAAAGUUGCAAGAAAUUAAAUUAGAUUUCCAACACUGCUGAUAUUGAAUCAAUCAGACUUCUGAGCGACGCAUUGUGCUCAAAAUAGUAAACUGCGAUGUUUUCUUCCCAAGUCAAACAUAUUGAGUUGUUCCAGCCUCCCCGCCAUGCCUUGAUUCAUCCCGAGACGUCAUAUGACACCUGAAAUACCCAAGGGGCCAAGGGUGAAAAACCCAUGAAACACCCCAAAUACAAUCAAAAUGAGACAUCCAAGCAUCCAAAAACGUCGUUUAACGCGGGAAUAAUGAUAUGAGCCGGAACACACGAAUAACGACGACCGAGACAAUCUAUCAAAAUAAGGUUUUCAAAACUCAAACAAAUCAAACAACCGGAUGAACUAGUUACCUAGCCAAUCAAUCGAACACAAGGUCGAAGGGAGGGUCUAAGUCUCACAAAUCUAAGGUGCUACAAAGAUUGGGUGAUAACCCGACUACGGUAAACCGAAUCCGCUACCUAGCAAUGACGUACUAAAAAUAAAACGAAUUAUAAAAACAGCAUAAGUCGAAAUUUGCUUUCUUAUUUCAGGGGGGUCUUAUUUCACUAUGGUGGCUGAUCCCUCUUUAUAUAGGAGAGGAAGGCCACAAAAUUACAAGGAGAAAUAAUAAAAUAAAGGGUUAGAAGAGUCCUUGCUAGGCAAGUGCUCUUCUUCCUUUGGGAUUAAGUCUUGACUAGGUCAAUGCUUGUUUCCUAAGGAACCCCUUUGGCCAAGGAGCCUUCUAGAAGGAGUCCUUGGUUCUACCUAUACUAAUCCUAUCAACUAAAGGAAGAACAAAACACAAUCCAAAUCAAAGUUCACUAAAGAAAACAAUAAACGGAUAAUGGGGUCACUUAAGCUCGAAUGGGCUUAGUGAGUCGUACGCCUUGGUGGAAGGUAGAUGGCCUGAUCUCAGGAUUUGUAUACACUCAUGGAAGCCCCAUGAGUGAUUAUAGAGCUUCUUGUGUGAGCUAAACUGGUCUAGACUUGAAGUGAUGCAAGAGUCCUCGUUUCGGGGGCACCGACAUCACUGUAACGAGUCCACUUGUGGGCUUUAACUCCAAACUUGUUUUUCCAUGCUUCCAACGUCCUAGUUGGUCUUAAAAUGGCCCAUUAAGCACCUUGUACAGAGAUGGUACGAGAAAAGUCUUCUCAUUUGUGCCAAGGUGCGAUUUGGUGUAAUCCUCCAAAAUUGAUGGACCCAAUUUCGAGCAACGUUGCACUUUUGAAUCCAAAUGAGCCCCAAAUGCUCCCAAAUUCGGGACAUGUCUCUUCUCAUCAAUCCACACAACUGCUCCAAAAUUAGUGCGGGCAAAUUUGAUCUCUUCGCUCAUUCUUGCGAUUCUUUAUACUUGGGUGCGGUCGUGAUGUUGAUGUCAUCAUCGAUGUCGUGGUGCAGCAUCAGUGCCACCCGUCGGAUCGGGAAAUCUUCAAGUGCUCCAUUAUCUUCAUGACUUCAAGACAGGGAUGGCCUUGAUUCCAUCUCCAAGAGUCCUCCAAAAAUGCUCGUUUUGCUCCAAGGUUCUUCGAGUUUGGUGACUUUUCUGUUGAUUUCCUCUGAGGGCUAUUGACUUCUCGAAACCUUGGCAUCAUGGAUUGGGACCGCUGGGUGGGUCUCAUCAAAUAGUUGUGCUAAUAAUGGAGCUUAUCAGGACACAAUGAUAAAGCUUGCUUUCCCGCUUAUGGCUUGACCAAUGGACAUCAGAAACAAUGACUCCAUAAGCCGCCUGAUGGUUUUUAUAAUUGAAAGACCCAUCACAAUGAAUAUUCCGGAGGAUGUCAAAAGGCGAUGGACAAGGGUUCGACGGAAUAUGGGGGGCUGUUUGAGGGAGAGGAGAAAAGUUCGGCAUCGACGGAUGAGGCAAAUCAUUCCACAACGCCACAUCCUGGAGAGCAAACGCGCAUGUGGAAGUAGGCACCGGUGUAGUCGAGUUGAAAACAAAAUCAUUACGGAUCUUCCAAACAUUCUAGCAUCCGGCUGCAAUUAGCUGCAUCUGGAUAUUACUCAUCCGAUCUUUCAAUUGGAAAAACCAAUCCACAAAAGAUGUUCCUGCAUCAGGACGAAUCAAAGAAGGAAACAUAAGAUUUCAAGCAUCACACGCAUGAUCACAAAGAAGAAGGCAAUGAGAAAUAGAGUCAUCUUGGUGGAAAAAAGAGCAAAAAUCGCAUAUGGGGCACAUCACCGAGAAAAUAGGUUGGCAUUGGUCGCCAAACACUUAUUGAUAGAUCGCCAGAGGAAGAAAACCACUUUGGAGGGGCUGGAAUAUUCCAUAACCACUUCCAUUUAGCCUUCUCAACCGUGACACCAAGGUUAUGAGUUGCAGACACACUAAAGCGAGAAUGGAAGUAAGCCAAUCAGAUCGACAUUUUCCAGAGACUUCCGGUUUCCACACCCAAAAGUCCUUUAAAUCAGCCGCUCCAAUAGGAACCUUCAAAAAAGCUCAAGCUAUCUCAGCAGAGCAGAAUGAGUUAAGAAGGUCCUCAUUCGAUCUCUUUUCCUAAUGCAAAACAGCUCCUGAACCUUCUCGAAAUCGCCAUGACAGUCUAGGAAAAAAUUUGAAAGGUCCAGGAUCCAAGGGUCGCCACUCACCCUUGUGGAAUCCCCCGAACCAUUCAUUUUAACACAACCCAUAGACAGGACCAGGAGAGCAUCACAUAAGCUACUCCAAAUCCACAAUGCGUGUCGCCCCUUACCAGCCUCCGGAAAAGAUCGAUUACGAAAGUAUAAGGACUUGAGAAGGUGAGCCCAGGUAGUGUCAGGGUUUGUCAACAAACGCCAGCCCUGACGAGCCAAGAGGUUCUUAUUAAAGCAGGCGAAAUCGCAAAAGCCAAGACCACCCUCAUAGCGGGAAUCACAUAACCGGGAACCCUUGCACCAAUGAAUGGACUUCUUUUUCAUCGAACCAGACUAGAAAAAGAGUCGGAGAAGGUUGUUCAUCUUCUUAAUAAGUUUUGAAAGAAAAGCAAAUAAGCUCAUGAUAUAAGUAGGGAUAGCCUGGGUAAUUGCUGUGAGGAGAGUGAUGCCCGCAUGAGAGAGAAGGAGACCUUUCCAAGCUUGGCCUUGGUUCUCCAUUCGCUCAAUAAGGAAAGAGAACUUCUCCACUUUGGACCGGCCGCAUUCGGCCGGCACUCCCAAGUAUUUAGAGUGAGCACUGUCAUGAGAGAAAGAGGUGCAAGCAUAUACUAGCUUUAAGAUCAUUCGGGCGCACUGAAGAAAAUAGAUGACUUGUUCUUGUUGAUUUCCUGCCCCGUAAUAGCACCAUACCCAUUAAUAAUAUUCAUCACCUCUUGAGCUUCUUGCACUGAGUCCUUCCCAAAGAUCUCCGUAUCGUCCGCAAAUAAGCAAUGAGUAAGAAGGGGGCACCGAGGUUUGAGACGAAUCCCAUUGAUAAUCCGAUUUUCUGCUCCUUUUCAAUCAUAAUAGAUAGUGUGUUAGACAUGAGGAUAAAAAGGAACAAUGAUAAUGGAUCACCCUGACGAAUCCUGUGGGAGGGAGAGAAGAACUCUGUUGGGGAUCCAUUGAACAGAAUGGAGAACCGAAUAGUCUAGAUACACUCCUUCACCCAAUUACACCAUUUAUGAUUAAAAUCGUAAGCCCGCAACAACACGUCCAGGCAUUUCCAAUCCACCAAGUCAUAUGCUUUUCGCAUAUCCAGUUUCAUAAGCAUAUCCAUCUUCUUCCCUUUUUCCUAAUCCGAAAAUGGUGAAGAGCCUCAUGAACAAUAAUAAUAUUGUCUUGAAUCAUGCGGCCUCCAGAGAAAGCACCUUGCAUUUCCGACACAAGGAUAAGGAUCCAUUACUUCAGCCGAAAGCCAUCAUCUUCGAAAUGAUCUUAUAUAUGAAAUUGCAACAAAUAAUGGGUCGGAAUGACUCAUUUUUUUUGGACUUGGGAAUUUUAGGGAUUAGAGCCAGCUAAGCAUCGUUCCAACCGCUAAAUGAAUUUUGGGACGGAGAUAAUCUCAUGAGUAAUUUCUAACCACAUCCAUCCCUAAAUUAUUUAGUAAUUUCUAUUCAUCAUUUAUGUAAUUAUGUUUUCCUUUAACGAUAAUAAUAUUUCAUUUAUAAUGUAAAUUAUAAUCAUAUGUUCUUUUCUUAAAAGUUGGUCCAUUUGCAUAUGUGAAUCCCUAAUAAUUGCUAAUUAUGGGUCAUUUUAUCCUUCACUUUACUUUAGCAAUUGCUAAAAUUUGGAAAUAGAGAUUCCCUAAAUGAGAGCACUGAAUUGAAAUUAUGAUUAAUAUACAUCGAGUACUGAUCCGAUACAACAAAACACUCUGCCGGAUNNNNNNNNNNNNNNNNNNNNNNNNNNNNNNNNNNNNNNNNNNNNNNNNNNNNNNNNNNNNNNNNNNNNNNNNNNNNNNNNNNNNNNNNNNNNNNNNNNNNNNNNNNNNNNNNNNNNNNNNNNNNNNNNNNNNNNNNNNNNNNNNNNNNNNNNNNNNNNNNNNNNNNNNNNNNNNNNNNNNNNNNNNNNNNNNNNNNNNNNNNNNNNNNNNNNNNNNNNNNNNNNNNNNNNNNNNNNNNNNNNNNNNNNNNNNNNNNNNNNNNNNNNNNNNNNNNNNNNNNNNNNNNNNNNNNNNNNNNNNNNNNNNNNNNNNNNNNNNNNNNNNNNNNNNNNNNNNNNNNNNNNNNNNNNNNNNNNNNNNNNNNNNNNNNNNNNNNNNNNNNNNNNNNNNNNNNNNNNNNNNNNNNNNNNNNNNNNNNNNNNNNNNNNNNNNNNNNNNNNNNNNNNNNNNNNNNNNNNNNNNNNNNNNNNNNNNNNNNNNNNNNNNNNNNNNNNNNNNNNNNNNNNNNNNNNNNNNNNNNNNNNNNNNNNNNNNNNNNNNNNNNNNNNNNNNNNNNNNNNNNNNNNNNNNNNNNNNNNNNNNNNNNNNNNNNNNNNNNNNNNNNNNNNNNNNNNNNNNNNNNNNNNNNNNNNNNNNNNNNNNNNNNNNNNNNNNNNNNNNNNNNNNNNNNNNNNNNNNNNNNNNNNNNNNNNNNNNNNNNNNNNNNNNNNNNNNNNNNNNNNNNNNNNNNNNNNNNNNNNNNNNNNNNNNNNNNNNNNNNNNNNNNNNNNNNNNNNNNNNNNNNNNNNNNNNNNNAUGUAUGGAUGGCUCAAUCUCCUUGUGGUUUUAAUUUUCCUAGGGUUUGUUUCAGUACUACUAUAUGUCUCUAAUGGCUACUCUAGGUAGCUAGAUAGAUGGAUAGAUUUGGGGGAAAGUUGUAUCCUUUUCAUCAAAGAUGAUGUUUGAACAGUUGCUGGAAAUUUGUGGUGUCCUUUGGGAAAGCAAUCAUAUAUAUAUAUAUAUAUAUGAAUUUACGAUUCAUAACCGAAAUUAUCCACUGCAGUGCCUCCCCGAACACCUGUUGAUCCGCCUUGCGAGGAAAAUAUGAGUAAUAAUUAUACCUUUCACGGAAUGAUCCUUUUUUUAUUGUGUGUCUAAGUUCACAAAAGUAUACCAAUUUGAUUGGGUCUUACUUGUAAAAUAGGUAAUGGUAAAUAUAUAAUCAUAAUCAUUACCUAAACAUAAAAUUUCUGAAAAAGGAAGAUUGGGAAGAUCCAAUUGAUCCACCCACUUUGGCAUUCAAUUUGCUGGUGGUAGCUAGCUCCAAUCCAUAAUUAUAUAUUAAUAAUUUGAUUAAAUGUAUGGUUGUAUGGUCUUUAAUUAGAAUCGAUAAUACUGAUUCCCGAUCGUGGCCGUCUAUCAGUCGACGCUGACACCUAGAUCUCCACCAACAAACGGAACCCACUGCUCCUGCAAAAUGAAAAUCAAAAGCACCAAUUACUGAAACAACCCGUCGUACAAGAUGAAGUAUCUCUUCCAUCGGCAUCCGAAUCAUCAACUCACCGGAAACGUCCGCUCGCCGUCGGCGGAUGUUGCAGAUUCGCCACUCGGUCGUUUCUUCUAAAUGAUCUUGAUAGGUAGAGUUUUCAGCUUCUUUAAUUCUAUAAAAAUGUAAACCAUACGAUUGUAUCUCUACAAUCCAACGGCCUAUAUUAUAUUAUCUCUAUAACGAUAAUUAUUAGUUCUCUCUUUAUACUAUCCCAAGAGGUAUACUCUGACCGUUGACUGAUUGUGAUGAAUAUUAUCACACGUAAUCAUGAAAUAUAAUAUGUAUUCNNNNNNNNNNNNNNNNNNNNNNNNNNNNNNNNNNNNNNNNNNNNNNNNNNNNNNNNNNNNNNNNNNNNNNNNNNNNNNNNNNNNNNNNNNNNNNNNNNNNNNNNNNNNNNNNNNNNNNNNNNNNNNNNNNNNNNNNNNNNNNNNNNNNNNNNNNNNNNNNNNNNNNNNNNNNNNNNNNNNNNNNNNNNNNNNNNNNNNNNNNNNNNNNNNNNNNNNNNNNNNNNNNNNNNNNNNNNNNNNNNNNNNNNNNNNNNNNNNNNNNNNNNNNNNNNNNNNNNNNNNNNNNNNNNNNNNNNNNNNNNNNNNNNNNNNNNNNNNNNNNNNNNNNNNNNNNNNNNNNNNNNNNNNNNNNNNNNNNNNNNNNNNNNNNNNNNNNNNNNNNNNNNNNNNNNNNNNNNNNNNNNNNNNNNNNNNNNNNNNNNNNNNNNNNNNNNNNNNNNNNNNNNNNNNNNNNNNNNNNNNNNNNNNNNNNNNNNNNNNNNNNNNNNNNNNNNNNNNNNNNNNNNNNNNNNNNNNNNNNNNNNNNNUCUACAUUGUUUUCAUUUAUUUAACUAUGAAAAAGCAUAUAGGGAAUAAUAAUGCUGAACUCACUCUUGUAUUUCAUUCUUUUAUACAUUGAAGUUUGUACGGAUUCACUAAAUUUGGUAAUAUAUGGAAUUGUUUUAUUAGAAGCUAACAUGAUUUAAUUCUACGACUUCUCAAUCAAAUAAAAAAGUUGUAAUAUUAUGUAAAAAAUUGCAUUUCAAUAACUUCUUAAAUGGUUGAGAGAGGUUAAUAAUUAAUUUCUAUAAUAUUAUUUUACCGCAACAAUUUAUUCGACCACAAAUUUCUUUAGUCCCUUUAACAUUAUAGUCUUCGAAAAAGAAUUUAUAGCUCAUAGUUGUUAUGUUAAAUAAUUAUUAGUAUAUAAAUUAGUACUUUUUUCCUGAAAUAGAGUACUUGUACUAUUAAAACUCAUGGUAAAAGUUCAUCAACACGAGAAAAGGUUGGUGAUUUUCAAAUAGGGUUACCAUAAACACUGAUAGCCUGAAAAUGGCUAUCCCUCCGGUUAAGCCUUUUAUUCCUGUUGGCAGGAGCUAAUGCUCAACCCUAACCUUUUUCUCCAAAAUAUGAAAACCUGCCGAAGAAAAGAACGGUGAACGCCAAACUAAAGCGACCAACAAUGUUACCAUGCAUGACGCUGAAAUCCUACCCCUCUCGGAGGAAUACUUAAUUCUUUAAAUGAUUACUUUUGAAUUUGUAUAAUGAAGAAGAAUUAAUAAUAAAAAAAGAGAAGAAAAAGCAGUUGCGCAGAGCCACGCCAUUUCAGUUUUGAGAAGCUCGAUGCAAAUUAGAUGAAGGAUUGCACUCAUUAACUUUAUUAUUAUUAUUAUUAUUAUAAACUCUCUUCCAUUACAGAUAAAGACGAGUAUUUAUGAUUGUCUACAUAAGGCAGGAGAGAACUAACUAUCUUCAUGGAAGUUCUAUCAUGCUAAGUAUCACUCAUGUUUACAUGUUCCUUGUACACAUUUUCUAUACACACGCCAUGUACACAAGUGAAAUACACAACUUGGAGUCUAGUGGUCAGCGGCGGAGUAUUCUCUCUUUAUCUACAGUAAACAUUUCAUAUAAUUGUACUCUACAUAUUUCCAUAAUCGUACAUACACACGACCUUAUAGACCUGCACACAAUAUAAUAGACAGCGAAAGAUUUUGAUGGAAAAGUUCAACGUUUCUAUCUUGUACUCAUUUUUAGGCUUGCUUUUUGCAGCAGUACACGAUUUCUACACAUGUACAUGGCUCUAUACUAGGCAUGUUCACAAACGAAUGUACGCAACGAUGGUGACCAAUGAAGAACAAUGGUAAAGAGCAGCUGGCAACAGAGAUGGUGUGGCUAACAAUGGAGUCGUACAAGUGAAGAACGAAUGGUGAUUUUCUAUUUUUUUGCUCCAACAAACUGAACUAUAUCGUCAGAUCAUUAGAUUGACCACUCAAGUCCGAGUUUGAUACCAUCAUUCAAAGUCUUCUCUCUCUUCUGCAGAGCAUAAAUAAUCACCAUAUCUUUUGGUAAGCCUCUCAGAUCCAUAGCAUUUCUUAAGAGAAAAACAUUACUACCUUUUUUGCUUAAAUAAUAUUACAAAUGACAAAAUCACAACCAGCAGCAGACCAUAAUCUUCCAGUAGCAGAUAACAAAUCCAUACGAAAACAUGAAUUUGAAUUCAAAGGUUUAUUUUUUCUUCUUGCCCCUCUUUUUACCACUAGUUGUUUCCACCUCUUCUUGUUCUUCAGCCUUUUGCUCCUCCUCCAAUAUGGCCAACUGCAAAAAUAAGCCAACUUUUUUUUUGUAAAUAAAUGUGGACUUGACAUGAAUCAAGAUAUGGAACCUUGUGGCUACAAGAGAGCACAGAGGAAACGAUCACUUACCUCAUCAAGAAUUGGUUUAAGCUCCCUGUAACGCCCUUCAGCAAGAUCGAAACCAUCUUUACGAAGCUCCUGCAAAUCAACACUCGAAACCAUUAGCACAAUGCACUGAAAUCAUAAGCCAGACUUGGAACAUAAACAAAAACACCAAUCAUGCCAAACUACACAAGGAAAUCUAUUCUCCUCUCUUCCGUAAAGAAGUUGAUUUAAUAAUUAAUAUUUCCAAUAUAAAGUGAGGUUAAUCAUAAGCUUUACAUCCUCACAAUUCACAAAGUUGAAGGAACCGACCUUCCCAGUGUGCUGUGUAUGUUCGUGUGCUGCCAUUUGCCAGUACAUAUUCGUACGCUUAUAAAAAUCCCUCAAAGAUUCUCCAGGCUUCACAUUGAAACAAGAAGAGACGAGCAACCAGUUAGCAAAUUGGAGGAAUAUAUCUCACCUCUUGGUAAACUAAAAAGAAGAUUUCAUGUUGGCAACUGAAUUUUUAAACUUGAAGACCAAUGAGAUUGAACUGGUAUGGAAUGAUAGAGAUGACAAGAAAAGGAUAGGAGAAUACUAUUGGUGUUCUUUGUGAAUCUGAAAGGCCAAGGCUAGCUCUGAUUUGUUCUAUCCUUGCUCGUUUCUCCUUCCUCCGAAGCUUCUUUUUCUCACCCUUUAUUAUAGCAACUGCAUCUCCCACUUGAAGUGAUCCGGAAGCAUCAUUCACAGCCUAUCGGUUCAGAAAUUAAGGUACAUGAGUAAUUUUGCAAGCUAUAACAGAUAUACUUUUUAUACUACACAGAAUGUCAGGAAGGAAUAGCAAAUCCACAUUUCAGCAUACUUACCUCUGUGUCAUCCUCAUCCUCAUCUUCGUCAGAGUCAUCCAUAUCGCUGUCAUUACUAUCCUCAUCAUUGCUUGCAUCUUCAUCUUCUUCAUCAUCAUCAUCCUCAGAGACUUCUACCCAUUCAGAUUCAGAUGCCUAAAUGGAAAGGAAACCGUGGUCAUGCCCAAACAACUCAUAUGUUAGAGGCUACAAAAUCAAGACACCACUAUACUUGUAACAGACUCUAAUUGUCAACCAUGCUCACAAUACAUAAAUUCAGGGAAUAAGCUUCAGCUAUCUCUGAUGCUACUGUGAGGACUGUAUUAGCCAUCAGAUUAACAUGGCAAAGAAUGAGUUGUUGACACUAUGAUCUAACUUCUAAAAAUGCAACCUAGGUGGAGCAUGCCCAACUUCCACGAGUGCUUGAUAUACAUAAGUACUCGGAGAAUAAAAAGACGAGAGUGCUGGCUUGCCCAUCCAAAAUCCAUUAAGAUCCCAUUUCUAUAAAAAAAUAUCCAUCUAGAUUCUGCCAUUUGGUAGCUAAAACAAAAGAAGCUUAUCCCCUUUACACGAAUCAAAAUGCCAGUAACCAACCACCGUACGAGCAGUACCCUAACUACGGAAAGUUCUUUUGAGGAUAUAUGCAUAACGAAAUUAACUGAAAGGCCAUCCUUAUAAAAUCAAAGUAUCCACAAAACUAUAUUUUUCUUCCAAUAGAACUACAGCAUCAGAAAAAUUAAGAGUUGCUGGUGAUGAAUCUAAACCACUCGAAAGACUAAACGUAUCCAUCAAAACCACAAAGCACGAAGAAAAAAAGAUGUAGAGAAUGAAAUGUGACAGACCGGGAUGAGGCAUUUCCAUUCGUCAAGUUUGCUGAGAUUGAGUGAAUACAAAUCGUCAAGUGUUAUUUCCUGAUCUUUGACUUCCAUCAUUCCACCGUACAUGUAUAACGUAUCUCUACUGACGACCACAGAAGAGUUUAUACGUCCACAGGGCUUCACUAUCUAAAAUACGGAAGCAUAUUAGAAUUGAAGUUCAAGCAUAAAAUAUUCACGAGAGAACCAAAUCUGACAGUGACAAACCUCAGGGAAAGCUGAGCUUUGCACCAUCUUGGCCUUAGAAGCCUCAACCUUUACUCCAACUUUAGUGCUUGAAGAGCCAGCAUCUGCUACAUUCAAGUUUGUAUCCAUAUUCUCAGAGAUCAGAUCAACUUUGGCUUCAUCAAGGUCCUCCAUGGUCUCAUCAAUUUCCAUAUUGGAACAGUCUUCUGCUUCAUUUAUACUAGUACGUGUUUGACUUUCUGAACUUUUUUUUAACUGCGAAGAAAUAUAAAGUGCAACGUUUACGUUCGCAGGCUUAUGGACCCAUAUUCACACACUGAAAGUACAAAUGGACUUCAUCAUGAAGUUUCAUGUUAGCUAAAUUACUGCUUGGAUAAACCUUAUCUUUUGUGGACUUUUCCUUCCGCAACUCCAAUGGAUACCUAUAACCAUGAGAGUGAAAAAUGGCAUGGUUAAGCAGGAGAUAUUAAGGCAAAGGAAAUAUAUACAUUACUUCUUUUCAACGUAUAAAACAUCUGUAUGGAAACAAUAAAACAGUUAAAGCAAAUUAAAGUAUAUCAACAUAGCUUGUACAUAGCUAACUUAACAUCAAUGCUUUUAGAAAACAAUGCCAGAAACUAAUUACCAUCGAUGGUUGUCUAACUGGAAGCCAUAGAGUUCAUUUAGAAAUAAGCUCAUCAGUACAUCACCUGCAGUAACAAAGCCAGAUAACCACAAUCCAUGAUAUACCGAAGGAAUACAUAGUCCAUGGCUAACUAAUAGAGAUGCCAGCCUGAUUUAUGACUGUUGAUUAACAGACACUCAAAAUAAUGGAAAAGAGUAAGAUGUGACAAACAUGAUAAGAAAUAGCCCUCCAAGUUCAUACUGUCAAAGAACUGCAAUAGUUGGCAUCAAACAUAUACAAGCCAUAAUCUUAUCUCGAUAGAUGUGAUAAUAACUUUCAAGAUGAUAUAACUGACCUUCCAUUUCCAUAUCCACCACUCCCCCAAACAUCACAGCACGCUUCUUGUGCACACAUAUAGAAAAGCCAGCACGAGGCCCAGGAGGCAUCCCACUCUUCUUUACCUAUACAUAUUUAUCGGCAAUUAUAAUUUAUAAACAAGUUAUUCAUUAGGAAGAAAAAAUAAUUUGCACAACCACACAAAAAAAAGUAACCAGAAUGGUUGCAAUUAUCUUUGUUAUGCAUGGGAUUAGACGAGCAUGAGCAAUCGAACCUUGUUCCAUUCCCACGUUCUUGGAUCAAGGGACCACAUGUCUGCGUGGACAUUUCCUUUCUCUGUGUUACCCUUGUCGGAGGUAACCUCCUUAGAGUAGCCACCAUACAAAAAUAUCUCCAGGAAAAAAAAGCACCACAUUAUUCAUCCAUUUAUCAGGAAUUCAUAUAAACAAUGACAUCCAGAGCAAUGGAAGAUGGCAAAUAAAUCAAGUAUUAACUAAAACAUGCAAGAUCACACAGUAACAGAAGUGGAUGACACAGGUGGUAUAUGCUGCAAAGGGGAAAUUUAAGGAGGUUUUAUCUCAGGCUUUUAGAAUUAGUAGCACGGACAAUGAACACCACAAUAAUAAUCCCACAAAGGUUAAGAAAUAAGAUAUCUACGUGAACAUGCACGUGCGUCACAAUGCACGCAAAUCAAUAGCUUACAGAAUAAUGUCACCAGAAAAAUUGGAAAGGGCUCGUAACGGAACAGCUUAAAGUACAAUAACAUAAGUUCUUCUGAAAUGUUUUCCAAUAUGACGGUCUGAUUAAUAAGAUUACAUACCGCUGUAAAAGCAUAUGAUACUGAAAUGCCCAAAAGCAAUUUAACCAGCAGAUGUUGUUCAUAGUGUCCUACUUUCACAUACCUCAUCUUGAUAAACAAAGAACUGAAAACCACUCCGUGCACUAGGCCACAACGCUCCAAGCUUUGGCUUAAUUUCUAGCCACUGCAGAUUCAACCGCCACUUAAAUGUCAAUUCUAACUUUCACGGGAUCUCUACUUAUAUGACAAUAAGAUGACCAGCCAACAGAUAAGUAGUCAAAGUGUUCACCUUGAACUGAUCGAGGUCAAAGAUAUGCAAGUCAUUGUAAUACCUGCAUAGAUGCAGCAAGGCACUUGAGCAACAAACUCAUAGUCGUUUACUGAAUUGAUUUAACAAAGCUAAAAUACUGAAGUAACAAAAUGGGAAUGGUAAAAUAUAAGCAAUCAUCUUUGAAUCCGAUUGACCAAGACCAUAUCCGUUAACUUCACUCUGGUUGAAAGGAUGGCAUUGAAAGGGUCAGUUAUGCAUUUUUGUAAAAUCGUAUAUUUAAGACUUAAUAAAGGUAGAGCAAAAAAAGCAAUGAGUUUAUUUCAAGCUAAAGUGUAAACAUUACAAAUCUUCGAAUGAAUUCAUAGAGUCCCAUUAACAACCUUACUUCUCUGAGAGUGUCAUAGAAGCCACCAAAAAGAAUUAUUUUGUGCUUGUAUAAGACCUGCACAGGACCAAAUAGUAGGAGAGAUAUCCGCAUUAGAGACGGACUCAAAUACACAUUCAUAAAAGAGACAAAUACAGAAUGCAACUUUGUUUAUCUUGAUGUUUAUGACACAUCAACUUUCAAGGGCAAGUUGACUAACCAUCCGAUGACCUGAACGAGGACUUGGGGUGCCUUUAUAAUUAAGCUGCUCCCACUGAUUUGUUUUGAGGUCAAACACCCAGAAAUCCUGUGACAGAGAAAGCCACACGUAGCACUCUGUUAUUUUUAACCCUCAGAGCCCCAAUCCGCCAUACUAUUAAUAUGUAUUACACUAUCACUACACAGUUGUCACCUUAUAGUGAUGGAAGCGCUCUUGAUUUGGAGAUGUGAACUCACCACCUGUUCAAAAAAUAGGUCAUUGAGCUUGUUGCAAGUCAAAGACUCAAGUGUUCUCCAAGAGAAAUCAGUCAUUGACUGUUACCAAAGAUGUAUAGAUAAUUCUUCCAAGCAAUUGCUUGAUGAGCACUUCGUGGAGGUGGACUAUUGGGGCUUGAUAUCGAUUUCCACUCUUGCUUCUCCACAUCGUAACGGUAUAAAUCGCCAUAAACAAAUGUCUGCAGCAGUUCCAAUUAAUUAAUGCAAUGUCUAAACUUCAUAUCAAAGUUAUAGUCACGAAUGAUACUUAGUAGUUAUGUUAAACAGUGUUGCGGGGAAGCAAACCUUGCUGCCAUUGUAGAAUUCACCUCCAUAGAGGAUCAACUCGGUCUCUUUUAACGGAUUAAUGCUCAGCUAAACCAUUGAAAAACACCAGAGUCAUAAAGCAGCAAAGCAAGGUAAAAAGAACCUAAUUUAACCAAAACAACAAGUUGAAAACUAGCACUGCAGAUCCUUACCGUACAGUUGGAUCGAGGAGAGGGUGCAGGGACAUUAUCGUCAACCUGGACUUCCUUCUUCUUUGCUUCCUCUUUCUGUAUGCUUAACUGGAUAACCAAAUCCACAACCCCAAUCAUUUUCAACGAAACGAGAAGAAUUUGGAACUAUGAAAAUCCGGAAAUCAGUUUCAGCUUCAGUACAACGGGUAAACAGUGUACACAGAGGAUGAUGAGAGGAAGCUCAACUGACUCAUCAAAAUCAAUAAUUGAUUGGCUCCCAAAACAACAUGAGCGUACAACUCCAGCCCGCUCGGAGAAACUCUAACUAAAGCAGAUUAUUUAAACCAUCUGAUUAAACGAGGGAAACAAAUAACGAAACGGGAGGGAAGUAUUUCGUACUAAAAUGGCGUCAAUGUCGUCUUCAGGGGAGAGCUUCUUGGCCUCUCUGCGAGCCUUCUUCUCCUCGGCUUUGAGAGUUUUCUUCUCCGUCUUCUCUUUUCCUUUUCCAGGCUUUUUAGUUUUCUUCCCCAUAGCGCUCUGCUCAGCUCAAUCAACCGAACUUCUCCGCUGCUCUUCCGGCGCCGCCUACGUUCUCUCCGGUCAGGACCACCGAUACUGAGCAAGUAAAACGAAGUGAAGAACGGCCCAACUCAUAUGAUGGCAAAACGGAGGUUUUAAAGGAUCCGUCUCUCUCCCACGAAAUUACGACAUCGUUUUGCAGUACCCUGAACCCUAAACCCAAACCAAAAAAAUCGCUACAAAAAAUAGACUAGCAGAAGAUGACAAAAUUUUAACUGCCAUCUUCACAUUUAAGAAGAAAUGAACAAAUACAGAGAAAAGCAGAAAGCAGCGAAGCAGCAGAACAGGAGGCAGUGGUAGAAAACGAGGGGAAACGAGAGGGGGUGGACAACAAGAAGAAUCACUAGCAGAAGGAUGAAAACUCUCCCCCGCAGUAACUCGUCAAUCACAGAGAGAUGGCGAUGAUUAUCCCUCCGCCGGAAUAAAGCCAUCAACAGAGAACGCAAAGAGGAAUCGUCUGCGUUUGUCAUUCCUGCUAAAUAAUUGCGUUGCUUAGCGUCACAGCAAUGAGGUAAUCGCUGUUUUGAUACUUUCUUCAGUCAGUCACACGCAUACAAAUGCUUUUACUUGGUUUCAGGAUGCAAUGAAAAGGAAGUUUGGUCAUCUAACCACCUAACCCAACAUUUUUUCACAAGUUGCUCAUUAUUGUAAUCCGAAUUUAGCGGGUUUAUUUUUUAAUGGCAAAACCAAUCAUCCGAGUAAAUUAGAGGGAUGAUCGUUGGACCUUGGAUUGUUGGAAUUCGUUGGAGAUACGUCAAUGUUUAGGGUUUAUGGCGAUUAAAUAUGAAAACCAGCAAAAGAUGAGAACAUGAACAAACAAGAGAGACUGUUGUAAUGGAAGCUGUUGUCUGAAGUUACAGAAGUACUGAUUAUGUUUUGUUGCUAAACUUUAAUCUCUAUCAAUCUAUCUAUUAAUGUCUUGUUGUCUUCGAAUUCUGGAGAAUUGACAUGCAGGAGUAUAGGCCAGUCCAGUGUCAAAUUCCACAAUCUCUAUUACUUUAUGCAUUAUUGUGCCAACCAGUCUAUCUAUUGAUGACUUACUGGUGCUUCUUUUGAUGUGCAGGCUGCUGGUUAGUCAUAUGAUUCUGUUUGCGCUUUCUCAAGAUGAUCACAAAAUUCUCAAUACCUGCAGGUGGACAUGAAUUGAAGAAAAGUACUGGAAGAGAUGGUGGAUGGGCUGCUUCAGAACAGCAGGUGAACAGCUUUUGUAAACAGCUACUUCGGAACAGUUUUUGUGAAAAGCAGCUGCUUUAGAACAUUCUACAUAGAAUUCGGGGGGAAAUUAUCUAUUCGGUAUCUCGGAUCCUGUAUUUGAAUUCCGGUUCCCGAAUUAUAAGUCCCAAUUAAAAGUUUCGAGUUAGAUUUGGGUUUGGGAACGGGACUUCUUUUCCGGAUUUGGGAAUUCGGAGAUCUCAAUACAAAUACUCUCUCUUUACUAGGAGGCUAGUGAGCUUUCUCAUUUCUCCCAAUGGUCGCCCCAGCUUUCAUUUUCCAGAGAAGUCUUAACCGAAUUUUCUCCGCUAAUCUCCGCAGGUGCGUCUGACUUAUCUCCCUUCUCUGAAAGAUAUUCCACAUUUCAUUUGCCAUCUCUUUCCAUCCUAUUUAAAUUUAUACACCUCUCUAUACCUGGGUUUUUUCUGGUUCCAUGGAUUUUUUUCUGCCUGCAACGGUGCUUCUCUUUUCUCCCUUUCAAGUUGGUUGUUGUAUUUUAGUGAUGCCGUUAGACAUGUAGCAAGAAGUUUCAAUGAUUGCUGAAGGAGGAUAAGUAAAGGGAUAUUUCUUUUUCCUGUUGGUCCAAAGUUUCCCUUCUGGUCUCUCUUGAUUAAUGGUUAAACUGAUUUUGUGAGGGUGAUUGGCAUGGUUUCUGCCCAAGUGCUACAUUUGAAGGAUUUUGUAUAUGUCAAAUUUUUGGAGUUAUCCGAUUAUGGAUUAUAAAUUAUUAAAUUUUGCCUUUCCUCAGGGCACCUUCGGUCUGCUUGGGCUUUCGACAUCAGGGUUUCUCUUCCUUUCCCAGUCUCGGUUCUGCUUCAAGGCCUUCCAUCUUUACUACCUCAGCAUUUUCAAGAGGCUGUGGAAUUCCAAGGUCUUUUCUUCCUGUUCCAUGUGCAUGUUUUCCUCAUUUCACAUAUUUGCGGAGGAUCAACAAGUUCUCUAGUCCUGUUUUAUGCAGAAAAUUCACCAAUACGACGAGAUGCAUGAGCUGCCGUUCUGUUCAACUGAAGAUGUACGGUGAUGUAAUUAAGUUUGCUGAUGAUAAACAAUGGAAAGAAGGCAGUUCACCCAAGGGAGAGAGGAAAUCAAACAAGUAUAAAAUGUCUAAGAGGGCUAAAGUGAAUGAACUCAGAUUCUUUCGGCUCAAGGCAAAAAAGAAGAUAAAUUCGCCAAACCCAGAAGUGAGGAUCAGAUAUAAGCUUGAAAAGGUUCGUCUUUCUUUACAAUAUCAGCUUCUUUGGUAAAUGGUUAUCCAGAAAUGAGUGACUUUUUGAGAAAUUGUCUGCAGAGGGUUACAGCUUCGUUUUAUGCUCUUCAUGCAACUAUGCAAUUACAAUUUGAAUAAACUUCCUCGAAACAUCAAGUUGUACAGCAUCCUCAUGAUUAUGUUAUCACCUACAGUUGUCGCCCCUACACUGAAAUUGCUUUGCCAUAAUUUUCUUCGCAAUUGAAUUACUCCUCCUGUAAACCUUGUUUUCAUAUUUUAGUGUGAAUUCAUUAGGCCAAAAGGAAGGAGGCAUGGUUGAUCGAGAAGCUGAUGAAAUUUGAGCUUGCCAAGGGUCAACCCGAAACCUAUGAUCCUGAAAUAUUAACAGAGGAAGAGAAGCAUUACCUGAAGCGCACUGGUGAGAAAAAGAAAAACUUUGUUAUAGUUGGGAGGCGAGGCGUUUUUGGAGGUGUUGUUCUCAAUAUGCAUCUCCACUGGAAGAAACAUGAGACGGUGAAGGUUAUUUGUAAACCCUGCCGUCCGGGACAAAUUCAUGAAUAUGCCAAUGAGCUUUCUCGACUGAGUAAAGGAAUCGUGAUCGAUAUAAAGCCAAAUGAUUCCAUCAUAUUCUACAGGGGCAAGAACUAUGUGCAGCCUGAGGUUCUAUCCCCUCCAGAUACCUUAUCAAAAGCGAAGGUAUAUAUUCAUUUAUACAUGCCUUUUCAUGUCAUAUGGUGGCUUUCUUUGGAUUGUUAGGUUGGAUUCUUAAACUGCAUUUAACUGAAUUGUUCAAUGUAUUGUUGGGACAUGUUUGGUACAGGCUUUAGAAAAAUGCAAGUUCCAGCAAUCACUUGACCAUACGAGUCAGUUCAUCGAGAAGCUGGAGAAAGAGCUUGAGGAGUAUCUGGAGCAUGUCGUGCGUUACAAGAGAGUCAAGGAUGAAGUGCAGGAUGCCUGAUAUGGACAAUAAUCAAAUUACAAAGGGUGCGGUAUAAAUGUGAUUGCUGGACGAGAAACUAUCAGUUUAACCGAAGAAGCCGUUACUCUUUCCUCUUUUCGAGACCAUUGGUCAGGCAGUGCUUGUCGACGAUUGUGCUACCCCGCUCAAAUCUUUGAACAAUAGUGUGGUGGUACUGGUAAUUGCUUCCGGCUAUACGUGAAGGCUUGCUUGAUCUGGAGCUUGUCCGGGAUGCGGUCUCAAUAGUAGUGAAUACUGAAUAUUAUAUCAUUUCACUAGCUCCCAGAGUUGUAAACUUUGCAGUAAACUUGUUUCAGCGCUGGACUUAUUGUACAACCUUACUAUUGUUUUCAUCUUCUAGGUAGAAUAAACUAGCCUUCAUUAGAAUUAUAAGUUUUUGUUUUUACUUCGCCAGUUCUGAAAAUUGUGACAGAAAAUAGUGGACGUUGUGGAUUGUGGGAUGGAAUCUUAAGUAUUUUUUCAUUCGAAUGGGAAAUUUAGAUUCUAAUAAAGUAUAUUUUUGGAGCUAACUUUUUCAUUCCCAUAGAGUCUGGUUCCGCAGCAAAUACUUCACUUAUUUGUUGUCGGCAAACAAAAAAAGGAAGUAGCAAAUUCUAUCUACAAAAGCACAACAUAAAUAACUAUUGAAUGGAUAAUGUUUGGUUUUCUUAUGAGGCAUUUACUUUGAGCUUAUGAGAGUUCUUUGAACUCAUAUAUCAUCUUUCAUGGGUCUUGUGGCAUUUUCAAUUCUUCAAUUGAUAUGGCUUAAAUGGUCUCACGCUUUCAUUUUGCUAAUUACAAAAUUGUUNNNNNNNNNNNNNNNNNNNNUGCUAUUUACAAUAUUGUUUGUUAUACGUUUUCCGUAGUAAAAGAAAAGUUCAUCUAUCUCCACUUAUUGUCUUUUUUUUUUUGUAACUUCGCGGGGAUAAUUCUAGUUUGUCUUACAAUUAGAAGACUUUUUAAAUGAAAAAUGGUUCAUGUGGUGCAUUCCAUCUCCGAAUUUAAUUGUCUGCACUUCUAGAAAAUUAUAAAUAGUCUCGAUCUAUCUUCCUAACAUCCACAGUUCAGUAUGAUUCCUCCCACAUGGAUUCUGAUGGAAUCUCUAAUUACUCUAAACUGAGUACAAAAAUCAAGUACAACAAACUUAACACUAAAAAUCAAGUACAAGUAAAAUGAGUACACAACCCACAACAACAACACAAAUUACGUACAUAAUUAUAUCCCUAAAUCAGGUACAAAAAUCAAGUACAUAACCCUAAACUUAAAUUUUAGCACAAAAGCAAAAAAAAAAANNNNNNNNNNNNNNNNNNNNNNNNNNNNNNNNNNNNNNNNNNNNNNNNNNNNNNNNNNNNNNNNNNNNNNNNNNNNNNNNNNNNNNNNNNNNNNNNNNNNNNNNNNNNNNNNNNNNNNNNNNNNNNNNNNNNNNNNNNNNNNNNNNNNNNNNNNNNNNNNNNNNNNNNNNNNNNNNNNNNNNNNNNNNNNNNNNNNNNNNNNNNNNNNNNNNNNNNNNNNNNNNNNNNNNNNNNNNNNNNNNNNNNNNNNNNNNNNNNNNNNNNNNNNNNNNNNNNNNNNNNNNNNNNNNNNNNNNNNNNNNNNNNNNNNNNNNNNNNNNNNNNNNNNNNNNNNNNNNNNNNNNNNNNNNNNNNNNNNNNNNNNNNNNNNNNNNNNNNUUGUGCUUAAAAAAGAAGAGAGAUCUGGCGCCGAAAAAUAUAUUCAAAUAAGCUGAAAAAAUAAAAAAAUAAAAAUGAUAAGUAUACCCUAAUUUAAAUUGUCUAUUUUAUCUGUUAGAUGUGGCUCUUAAAAUUNNNNNNNNNNNNNNNNNNNNNNNNNNGUGGCUCUUAAAAUUGAUGGUUCAGAUUGCUCUUUGCUGCCAUCAAAGAGAAUUAAUUUCUUUGUUGCCGACCUUAAUUUCCAAAUUUCAUUUUAUAAUUCACUUUGCAAACGGCUGACUUCAAUUUCGUCGUAUUUGACGAUUUCACUGGGAAUUCGAGCUCCUUGAUGGAAAAUAAUACCUAAUAAGAUGGCAUAUCGUGUAAAACUAGCUGGAAUUGCCAAUUUCCUUUCAAUUUAAAAGGAAUUAAAUUCUUGAUAAGAGGUGAAAUUGCACUCUGAACGAGGAGAUUUAAUUGCGGUAGACUUAGACAAGUAUGGAAAACAAAAGAAUUUGAUCAAUUCCACUAGAAUUGCUUAAUUUCGUGGCCGAAAACAACCUCUAACCUUACUUUUUGGCAGUAAAUUAUUACAUGGCGUACAUUAUUAAGAGUACAUACUCGGGGCAGAUGAGAAGAUCAGGUCAGAGUGGACUUGGGUACGGCCGUGUUGUUGUGUUGAAAACAACUUUCUGCAGAUUGCUAAAUUGAUUAUUAUUGUGGGAAUUGAACGCGCUUUUGGUGCUGAGAAAACCAUCAGCAGCCUGCUCAAAGAAUUACAACCAUCAGAUCUUCUUUUAAUUAACCUUUUUCAAUCUAACGGCCAGACUUUGAUCGGCUUUUUGUGAAUUAUCAAAAAAUAAUUUUCAUUUUUUAGACUAACAUAACUUCUUCAAUUUAAGUCCGAUUUUUAUGUUUUUUUAUAUAGAAAGACUCGUCUUUCAAAGACGAAUCUAAUGAGACUUAUAUUGAUUUUAUUCCAAUAAUUUUUUUAAAGUUCCUUCUUUCAAGCAUAUCUCGAUUUCGUUUUUUGUUCGGUUUUCGUACUCUUGGCAUGGAAAUAUUAUACGAAUAUAAUGAUAUCAAUAUUGGGAGUAUUUGAGAAGUUUAUAUAUAUAUAUAUUUUAGGGAUAUCACUCGUGUUUUAAGGGACUUUGUCAUCACUUCAUUUUGAAAGGGGGCUUACAUCAUUCCGUCGUCAAAUGUAUAUAUUAGGAACAAUGACUGCUUAAUACCUCCAAGUUGCUAAUAAUUAUGAGAAUUUCCUCAAUAACUACUGUAACCCAUACUACUAACAUAUUUGUUUUAAAAUAAUACAGUGAAGCAAGAAUAGGGGGCUACGCUACUUAUAACGUAUAUAUAAUUUAAUGUUUACACCCAUCCGAUUAAUUCCUUCAUGAUAAUCUAGGAUUGUGCUUAUAUGUACUCAAAUAAUUAAUUCGUCAACAAAAACUGCUCAAGAUGUCAUAUAUGACUUAUUGACUUUUCACAAUACAGUACACCAUACCCGAAGUCCAACAUGACACAUAUACAUAUAGAACAGAAGUCUCGAGCUUCACAGGCUCGGACCAGAGUAACCAUAUACUUGCCCUCUCGGCCACUAUAUUUUACAAAACCAUAUCUCACAUUGUACUAGUACACAACCACUCAUAACAUAUGCACAUGAUGGAAGUAAGAGUCUCAAACAAACUUGAAAUACAAAACGAGGAUAAAGACACAAUCUUCGAUAUCUGCCUGGC